Molecule: ribosomal RNA, 253 nt
Filed under: uncultured bacterium
Lineage: Bacteria
Description: partial 16S ribosomal RNA
Rfam family: Bacterial small subunit ribosomal RNA
Source: RNAcentral
UACGUAGGGUGCGAGCGUUGUCCGGAAUUAUUGGGCGUAAAGAGCUCGUAGGCGGUUUGUUGCGUCUAUCGUGAAAACCUGCGGCUUAACUGUGGGCUUGCGGUGGAUACGGGCAGACUUGAGUUCGGUAGGGGAGACUGGAAUUCCUGGUGUAGCGGUGAAAUGCGCAGAUAUCAGGAGGAACACCGGUGGCGAAGGCGGGUCUCUGGGCAGUAACUGACGCUGAGGAGCGAAAGCGUGGGGAGCGAACAGG